GACAGAGGUGCCAAGCGUUAGGCGGAAUCACUGGGCUUAAAGCGUGUGUAGGCGGAUCGUUAAGUACCUUGUGAAAUCCCACGGCUCAACCGUGGAACUGCUAGGUAUACUGGCGGUCUUGAGCCACCUAGGGGCAACUGGAACAAGCGGUGGAGCGGUGAAAUGCGUAGAUAUCGCUUGGAACGCCGAAGGUGAAAACAGGCUGCUGGGGUUGUGCCGACGCUGAGACACGAAAGCCAGGGGAGCAAACGGG
Molecule: ribosomal RNA, 253 nt
Filed under: uncultured bacterium
Lineage: Bacteria
Description: partial 16S ribosomal RNA
Rfam family: Bacterial small subunit ribosomal RNA
Source: RNAcentral